This 1118-nucleotide long non-coding RNA is filed under the name Zonotrichia albicollis (white-throated sparrow). RNAcentral describes it as "lncRNA (ENSZALG00000000075.1)". The record is from RNAcentral. Lineage: Eukaryota; Metazoa; Chordata; Aves; Passeriformes; Passerellidae.
AACUGCUUACUAGGUCCUGCUGUGUCACAGGUCUUUGCAUUUCCAUUGAGGAGCCAUAUGGAGGGCUGCAAAUAGCACCAGACACGCAUCUCCGAGCGCUGUGUGUGGUGGAUCUCGGGAGUCCGGUGUGCAGGGGGCAGUCAUCGUGUGAACAGUGGUACAAACUGCAAGAAAUCUCUUCUCCAAACUACUGAAUGUAGGAACAAGCUGUGAAGAAUGAUUCAGUUGGACACUCUGUUUCCUUCAUUUGAGCUCAUUUUAUUACUUUGCCUAGUUUUUGGAUCCAGAGCUUUGGAACAGCCGUGCUGCUACAACUCUCAGUCCUUUCCUUCAUCAAGGUAUCUGGCAUGUGACAGAAGUGAUCAAAGCUGGAGGCAAGAAAGGAAUCAUGAAUCAUCUUCCCAACACCCACCCCAGCUUCUUUUGAGAGAUGCUCCUGUUGGCUGAUUGGAGAGAUCACUGGUAGGUCUGUUUAAAAGACUAAGCACAAAAUUGUAGGCAGAAGUCAAUCUCUGCUGCAUGGAAUACUGCAGGUCAGUACAGCCCAACACAAUCAAGCAGCAUUGACUUCUGAAAAGUCCAAGGAUAAGGAUUUUGGUCAAUCUGACAGGAGUCUUCACAAGUGUAGAGGGAAGUGGGGUCACCCAAAAGGGAUUUUUUCACAGUUGCUUGUGAUAAAUAUUGGAGCCUGUUUGGAGCAUCAGGUGCUGAAUGAGCUUUGCAUGUGGAGUGGUCUUCUCCUCCCUUCCUCACACUCCAUCGUGCAGAGGGCAAAAGCUGGCACUAGUUUUUCUUUUCAAAGGCACUGAGAAGUGCGCUCCAAUUAGGUAAUGCAUUAUAUAUGGCAGACAUCACUUGCUUUUCUCCCACAUUGUGGCUGAAGGUUGCACGAUGGGUUUCUAACUCAAAAACAUCCAUGUAACAGGCUGCAUAGAUGCCAGCUUUUCAUAGAUUGCUGAGGGUGGCCUUUUGUGAGCUGCUGCUCAAAGCCAGGUUUUGUUUCAAAGUACAACUACUAAAGCACUGCUAGCAACAGUAGUGGUAGAAAAUGUCCUGUUGCCUUUUAUUCCACAAACAAAAUACAGCUCCACAUAUGAAUAAAAACAAAGCCUUAAACA